Molecule: ribosomal RNA, 441 nt
Filed under: uncultured bacterium
Lineage: Bacteria
Description: partial 16S ribosomal RNA
Rfam family: Bacterial small subunit ribosomal RNA
Source: RNAcentral
CCUACGGGUGGCAGCAGUGGGGAAUAUUGCACAAUGGGGGCAACCCUGAUGCAGCGACGCCGCGUGAGUGAAGAAGUAUUUCGGUAUGUAAAGCUCUAUCAGCAGGGAAGAAAAAAGACGGUACCUUACUCUCAUGCCUCGGCUAACUACGUGCCAGCAGCCGCGGCAAUCUGGAGGGGGCAAGCGUUAUCCGGAUUUACUGGGUGGAAAGGGAGCGUAGUCGGGGGGGCAAGUCUGAAGUGAAAGGCAGGGGCUUAACCCCUGAACUGCAUUGGAAACUGCCAUGCUAGAGUGCUGGAGAGGGGAGUAGAAUUCCUGGUGUAGCGGUGAAAUGCGUAGAUAUUAGGAGGAACACCAGUGGCGAAGGCGGCUUACUGGACAGUAACUGACGUUGAGGCUCGAAAGCGUGGGGAGCAAACAGGAUUAGAUACCCGGGUAGUC